Molecule: ribosomal RNA, 200 nt
Filed under: uncultured Glomus
Lineage: Eukaryota; Fungi; Glomeromycota; Glomeromycetes; Glomerales; Glomeraceae
Description: partial small subunit ribosomal RNA
Rfam family: Eukaryotic small subunit ribosomal RNA
Source: RNAcentral
CCAAUAGCGUAUAUUAAAGUUGUUGCAGUUAAAAAGCUCGUAGUUGAAUUUCGGGACCAAUAUGUCGGUCGUACUUUGUACGUACUAGCAUUAUUGGUUUCUCCCUUCUGAAGAACCACGAUGUCAUUAAUUUGGUGUCGUGGGGAAUCAGGACUGUUACUUUGAAAAAAUUAGAGUGUUUAAAGCAGGCUCGCGCUUGA